CUUAACGUUUUGUCCUUCUUUUCUACAAAAAAGAAGCCGGCUCCCACUGGGGAAGAGGAUGGUCUGAUAUGCCCCAGUGACAGAGCUUCUUGAACAUACUCCUCCAUGGCGACCUUCUCAGGACCUGAUAGGUUGAACAAACGGCCUUUAGGAAGCGAGGCACCGGGUAGUAAGUUAAUCGCGCAGUCGUAGGGGCGGUGAGGUGGAAGAGCGCUGGCCUUGGCCUUACAGAAAACGGAUUUGAGAUCGUGAUAACACGGAGGGAUUUUAGACAGAUCAACAUUACUAGAAUCUUCAGAGCGGGAAACAGAAACAGUGGGAACUGCGGAUAGCAGACAAUUGGCGAGGCAAUAUGAACUCCAAUUAGUAAUGGUGCCUUGGGACCAGUUGAACUGAGGGUUGUGUAGUUUUAACCAGGAAAACCCUAGGACAAUGGGGUUUUGCGGAGACUGCGUGAUGAGAAGUUGAAUGGAUUCUCUAUGGUUACCUGAUGACACGAGCAGGAUGGGUUUGGUCCGAUGGGUAAUGCGUGACAGAUGUUGGCCACCCAGGCCCGAAGCCUCUAUGGGAAUUUCCAGUGGUUCUGUGGGUAUGGAGAGUUCAUUAACUAGUUGCUGAUCAAUGAGACUCUGCUCCGCCCCGGAGUCAACAAGAGCACGAAAAUCAUGAGCAUGAGUUUUAAGGCAGAGCUUAAUAGGAAUAAGCAAAAAUUCUUUACCAGAAUUGGCUAAUGCCCCCAGCGACCUGUCGUUUUGCGUGGUGUUCUGUGGUUUACGGAGAGGGCAGGUGGAGACCAGAUGACCCUUAGUUCCACAAUAGAAACAGGAACCUUCUUCUCGUCUUUUACGGCGUUCAUCUUCAGUUAAUUUCGAGUGGCCGAUUUGUAUCGGUUCCUCCAGAUAUUUUGCCGUGGCAGGAGCUUCAAUAAGAGGAGUAUUUUUGGCAGUAGAGAUGCUAAAUGGGCUAGUCACCGGUUGAAAAAGAAUUUGUGUGCGUUCUAAUUGACGCUCGCUUAAACGAAUUUCGGAGCGGAGAGCCGCCGUGACUAACUGUUCAAAAGAGCGUGCUUCUGGUUGGGCGCAGAGGUGGUCUUUUAUUCUCUCAUUUAAUGACUGGUAAAAAACACCUUUGAGUGCCAGGUCGGGCCAUCCAGCUUCAAUUAAUUUUAAUUCAAUUUUUAAUUAAUUCAACUGCUAAAAUACGAAAAUCAAUGACGUGGUCGCUGACUGAUCGAUUGUUUUGUUUGAGGUUGAGUAAGCAUCGAGUAGCUUCCUCCUGUUUCCGGGGUUGAUCGAAUAUUAGGCAAAAUUCACGGAGGAAAUGGUCAUAUGAAAGACGUGCAAUGGGGUUAGCAGAUAUGAAGGCCUGCGCCCAACGGAGGGCUUUAUUUCUGAGAGAAUUGACAAUAAGGGUGAUUUUGUUGUGGUCGGUCUGGUAAUAUCUGGGGGCUUGCUGGAAAAUCAGCUGGCUUUGUAAUAAAAAUCCACCGCAGGCUGUGACGUCACCAUGAAAUGGUUCCGGUAGGAGGCGGAAAUUUUCCGGUAGUUCGGCUGAACCGGAAGCGGAAGUGGGACUGUUGCCGGAACAUGAGGAAGGAUCGGGAACUGUGGAAUGACCAGAGAGGUUGGAUAUAUUAUGUAGUGUUCGUGAAAUAACCUGGAUCCGCGAAAGUAGAUCUUCCUGAAGGGCAGUAAUUCUUGAGAUGGCGUUGGAGUGGAGUUCCAAAAAGGCUCCUUGUUGAGAGAGGGCGAGGCGAAAUCCUUCCGAGUCAGCUGGGUCAGGAGUAUUUUCCAGUCCGUUCUGUCAUGGCGAGCGUAACGAAUAGACCCAGACGCUGGAACCCGGAAGAAACACAGGUGAGUACGUGGUGGAAUGAAAGAAGGUUUUAAUAUUGAUUCUUGGUUUGUGGAUUGUUCUUGGUGGAGUUGACGUCCUUGGAGGAACCCGCGGCGAGGAUGGUUCGGUCCGGUGGCCCGUGGCGUCACUGGUGGGUCGGCAGAGGCUCGUGGUGUCUCUAGAGUUACGGCAGAGGCUCUAGGCGUGACAGGAGGGAAUGCUGUGGCUUGGAUCCGUGGAUGAAGAAGACUCAGACGACCACUCGUGUUUAUGGACUCCUGGGAACAAGGGGCAACGGACUGGCGAUGAAUACUGGUCCAGGGGCUCCUUAAGAAGACAGGCAGGUGAUGAGUCUGACCUUGAGGUGAAUUUGGGACCUUCGCUCUUGAGGCCGUCUGCAGACAUGGGAGUCCUUUUGUCUGUAAGUGAAUUUUCAUUUGCAGAGUCAAACUUCAGAACUGUAGAUAUUAUUUAUGCCCUCUUUGUAAGAUAAAUGUGCAUCGACAGCUUUUCCCUUUGGCCUGACUCAGUCGGACUCACAGCGUUUUAUGAACACAGAGCUAUUUAUUUUCCGUUUUUUAUGACACAAAAUAAACAAAAAAAUGGUUUUAAAUGAAAUACAUCAGGUGAUAAUUCUUAUUUAGUACUGAGGAUGCUGAAAAAUACGACUUAAAGUGCAAGAAAUUAAUUGUUUUUAAGGAACAAAAACCUGCUAUCUGACAUUCAUCAUGCUGGGCGGUGGGGUGGGGGGUCAACUCAUGGGGAUGAUGCAGAAUUUUUGCCCUGGAAUGGAACCAACAAUCAUGAAAACAAUAUGGAACCUAGGUCAAUAAUAAACGUCUUUAUGACUAUAGGAACCGUUUUUACAUUAAAGUACACAUUCAGAAAAAAGCUACUUUAAUAAAGAGGGUUGUUUGUGUAAAUAACAUUCUUAUUAAUCCUAGACGGUUAAAAGUUGUGUCUGCUGCUCAAUAGUAACCUUAAAAUCCUAGAAGUUCACAGAAAAAAUGAAAAGUUAUGUCAUUGAUGAAAGUUUUAGGCUCAAUAUUUAAAAGUCAGUUAAAGGUCAAUGUUUUAAAAUAAAAUAUUUAUGCAUAAAGUCUGUUUUAUUCAGAAACUUAGCUGGAUAAAAAAAAAAGAACGCCAAAGUGGAGGAAAGAGAUGCUGACAUUUAUUUCUGUGUCCAUCCAUUGAAGCAAAAGGGAGAAACAGGAAGUGAGAGCUGCAUCAAAUCCGGCCUGCUUGCAGUGGGAAAGUUAAACACCUCGACAGACGUGAUGAGCAGAACAGACGUGUUUGUGACACCGUUAUCUUCCUCCUGGCUCCUCUUGACCUGACUUUUCUGAUCUGCUCCCCCAACAUCUUUGUCCAAGUUUCCAAACUGCAGAACAUUUUCCUGAGAGUCUUUGUAUGUUGAGAGGUCAGGUACCGAUCCUUGACACGGACGGAGGAACUGAAGGGGAAAUUUUCUUCUCGCCAGAUGAGCAAAGUGUCAGGAAUGGAAACGUGUUUUCUAAAAUGACAGAGGAGUCAAACUAGAUGCCUCGUUUUUGAGCUUCCUUUGACGCAGACGCACUUCCUGUCGUUUUCUGUCGUGAGCUGAUGAGCAAACAGACGAAAAGCAGAAUUUAGUUUCUUUUGAAACUGGAAAAUCCUUUCAGAGCAGCUCGCACUGCAGACGUGUUGAUGUGGGGGUCGAAACAGGGUGGGGGGUUAAGAUGCACGUCACGUCAUGUUGUUGUUGUUUACUGCGUUGUUGACUGCUCUAGUUUCUAAACGUGACCAGAAGAAACGGAAAAUUAAACAAACAGAUUUUUCUGUUUGUCAUUUUCCAAUCACACUUCCUUCAUUUAGCUCCAAAACGUCCAUCUCCCAACAUACACCGAGCUUUUAACCUUUACAAUGACACCUCCUCCUACAGAACAUCACCGUGGUAACCACACGCACCCUCUGAGCUGCUCAAAGUUCAGUUUAACUUCAUGAAAAAAUUUCAAAUGAGACUAUUUUUAAGUAAUAAAGUCGUCAGAUGAAAUUCCACCUUAGUGCUGGCUCACAAAAAUAGGAACAACACCUUUGUUCAGGUGAAACUUUAGCAAAAAAAUAUCCUCUCUGCCACCUUCACCUUCCUCAUCCUCCGUCCAAAAACUGGUUUUACUAAAAAAAAAGGAACAAAAAAAGUCUUUACUGACAUUUAAGAUGAGCACAACUCAUUUGAACUUUAUGAAAUAAAAAGACGUCAAGAAGAACAGUAAAUGCUGAUCUGAAGGUAAAUCUAAGCAAAAUACUGCAUCAGAUG
Oryzias latipes (Japanese medaka) is the source of this 4132-nucleotide non-coding RNA. The record is from RefSeq and is a predicted model, not a curated record. Lineage: Eukaryota; Metazoa; Chordata; Actinopteri; Beloniformes; Adrianichthyidae.